RNAcentral lists this ribosomal RNA (253 nucleotides) under uncultured bacterium. Its description in RNAcentral is "partial 16S ribosomal RNA". It matches the Rfam family "Bacterial small subunit ribosomal RNA", at positions 524 to 776 of the family's 1533-position model. The record is from RNAcentral.
UACGGGGGGGGCAAGCGUUGUUCGGAAUUACUGGGCGUAAAGGGCUCGUAGGCGGCCAACUAAGUCCGACGUGAAAUCCCAAGGCUCAACCUUGGAACUGCGUCCGAUACUGGUUGGCUUGAAUCCGGAAGAGGGAUGCGGAAUUCCAGGUGUAGCGGUGAAAUGCGUAGAUAUCUGGAGGAACACCGGUGGCGAAGGCGGCAUCCUGGGUCGGUAUUGACGCUGAGGAGCGAAAGCCAGGGGAGCAAACGGG